This 254-nucleotide ribosomal RNA is filed under the name uncultured bacterium. RNAcentral describes it as "partial 16S ribosomal RNA". It matches the Rfam family "Bacterial small subunit ribosomal RNA", at positions 524 to 776 of the family's 1533-position model. The record is from RNAcentral.
UACGUAGGGUGCGAGCGUUGUCCGGAAUUAUUGGGCGUAAAGAGCUCGUAGGCGGUCUGUCGCGUCGGUCGUGAAAACUUGGGGCUUAACCCUGAGCUUGCGGUCGAUACGGGCAUGACUGGAGUUCGGUAGGGGAGACUGGAAUUCCUGGUGUAGCGGUGAAAUGCGCAGAUAUCAGGAGGAACACCGGUGGCGAAGGCGGGUCUCUGGGCCGAUACUGACGCUGAGGAACGAAAGCGUGGGGAGCGAACAGG